CGUACACGGUGGAUGCCCUGGCAGUCAGAGGCGAUGAAGGGCGUGCUAAUCUGCGAUAAGCGCCGGUAAGGUGAUAUGAACCGUUAUAACCGGCGAUACCCGAAUGGGGAAACCCAGUGUGACUCGUCACACUAUCAUUAACUGAAUCCAUAGGUUAAUGAGGCGAACCGGGGGAACUGAAACAUCUAAGUACCCCGAGGAAAAGAAAUCAACCGAGAUUCCCCCAGUAGCGGCGAGCGAACGGGGAGGAGCCCAGAGCCUGAAUCAGCAUGUGUGUUAGUGGAAGCGUCUGGAAAGGCGCGCGAUACAGGGUGACAGCCCCGUACACAAAAGCGCAUGUGCUGUGAGCUCGAUGAGUAGGGCGGGACACGUGGUAUCCUGUCUGAAUAUGGGGGGACCAUCCUCCAAGGCUAAAUACUCCUGACUGACCGAUAGUGAACCAGUACCGUGAGGGAAAGGCGAAAAGAACCCCGGCGAGGGGAGUGAAAAAGAACCUGAAACCGUGUACGUACAAGCAGUGGGAGCCCCACCACCAAAGCAUUUGCUGUACCGCGUUGACGGAGCGAAGCGACGUCAAACCGAUAAAACAGCAGUGUAAAGUGAGCCGCAGGGCGCUUUGCGCGACAGCGCAAAGGCAGGCGGUUUCGCGUAGCGAAAGCGAAUGCUUUGGGGUGGGGUGACUGCGUACCUUUUGUAUAAUGGGUCAGCGACUUAUAUUCUGUAGCAAGGUUAACCGAAUAGGGGAGCCGGAGGGAAACCGAGUCUUAAUUGGGCGUUAAGUUGCAGGGUAUAGACCCGAAACCCGGUGAUCUAGCCAUGGGCAGGUUGAAGGUUGGGUAACACUAACUGGAGGACCGAACCGACUAAUGUUGAAAAAUUAGCGGAUGACCUGUGGCUGGGGGUGAAAGGCCAAUCAAACCGGGAGAUAGCUGGUUCUCCCCGAAAGCUAUUUAGGUAGCGCCUCGUGAAUUCAUCUCCGGGGGUAGAGCACUGUUUCGGCUAGGGGGCCAUCCCGGCUUACCAACCCGAUGCAAACUGCGAAUACCGGAGAAUGUUAUCACGGGAGACACACGGCGGGUGCUAACGUCCGUCGUGAAGAGGGAAACAACCCAGACCGCCAGCUAAGGUCCCAAAGUCAUGGUUAAGUGGGAAACGAUGUGGGAAGGCCCAGACAGCCAGGAUGUUGGCUUAGAAGCAGCCAUCAUUUAAAGAAAGCGUAAUAGCUCACUGGUCGAGUCGGCCUGCGCGGAAGAUGUAACGGGGCUAAACCAUGCACCGAAGCUGCGGCAGCGACACUGUGUGUUGUUGGGUA
Molecule: ribosomal RNA, 1312 nt
Filed under: Salmonella enterica
Lineage: Bacteria; Pseudomonadati; Pseudomonadota; Gammaproteobacteria; Enterobacterales; Enterobacteriaceae
Also listed under: 1 other name
Description: partial 23S ribosomal RNA
Rfam family: Bacterial large subunit ribosomal RNA
Source: RNAcentral